This 253-nucleotide ribosomal RNA is filed under the name uncultured bacterium. Its description in RNAcentral is "partial 16S ribosomal RNA". It matches the Rfam family "Bacterial small subunit ribosomal RNA", at positions 524 to 776 of the family's 1533-position model. The record is from RNAcentral.
UACGUAGGUGGCAAGCGUUGUCCGGAUUUACUGGGUGUAAAGGGCGUGUAGGCGGGAGAAUAAGUCAGAUGUGAAAUACCAAGGCUCAACCUUGGGGCUGCAUUUGAAACUGUUCUUCUUGAGUGCUGGAGAGGAAAGCGGAAUUCCUAGUGUAGCGGUGGAAUGCGUAGAUAUUAGGAGGAACACCAGUGGCGAAGGCGGCUUUCUGGACAGUAACUGACGCUGAGGCGCGAAAGCGUGGGGAGCAAACAGG